This 443-nucleotide ribosomal RNA is filed under the name uncultured bacterium. RNAcentral describes it as "partial 16S ribosomal RNA". It matches the Rfam family "Bacterial small subunit ribosomal RNA", at positions 338 to 795 of the family's 1533-position model. The record is from RNAcentral.
CCUACGGGAUGCAGCCGUGGGGAAUAUUGGGCAAUGGGCGCAAGCCUGACCCAGCAACGCCGCGUGAAGGAAGAAGGCUCUCGGGUUGUAAACUUCUUUUAUCAGGGACGAAGCAAGUGACGGUACCUGAUGAAUAAGCCACGGCUAACUACGUGCCAGCAGCCGCGGUAAUACGUAGGUGGCAAGCGUUAUCCGGAUUUACUGGGUGUAAAGGGCGUGUAGGCGGGAAAGCAAGUCAGAUGGGAAAACCAUGGGCUCAACCUGGGGCCUGUAGUUGAAACUGUUUUUAUUGAGUACUGGAGAGGCAGACGGAAUUCCUAGUGUAGCGGUGAAAUGCGUAGAUAUUAGGAGGAACACCAGUGGCGAAGGCGGUCUGCUGGACAGCAACUGACGCUGAGGCGCGAAAGCGUGGGGAGCAAACAGGAUUAGAUACCCGUGUAGUC